Long non-coding RNA from Dreissena polymorpha, 469 nucleotides. RefSeq lists it as uncharacterized. The record is from RefSeq and is a predicted model, not a curated record. The transcript has 2 exons. NCBI's taxonomy places the organism in Eukaryota, Metazoa, Mollusca, Bivalvia, Myida, Dreissenidae.
UUGAAAAAAGUUGUUUCAGAUUCGCAAAUUUUCGUUUUAGUUAUGAUAUUUGUGAGGAAACAGUAAUACUGAACAUUUACCAUGGUCUAAUAGAGCCAUUAUAUGCAUCUUUUGACGAUUUUAAAACCUAAAAAUUAUAAAGCGUUGCAACGCGAAACGAUUGAAUAAUUUGGAGAGUUCUGUUUUUGUCGUUAAAUUUUGUGAAACUACGAAGAUUGCUUAUAUAAGGUAUAAAAUACGUCAUGAAUGUGUACUCGGCGGAAUAGCUCAGUAGGCUAAAGCGUUUUUACUUCAGGACUCUGGCAGGACUCCAGGGGUCACUGGUUCGAAACCUGCUCCGGGCAAUGUUCUUUUCCUUUUUUUAAUUUUUUUCUUGAUUUUUUACUGGAGCUUUUAUGAUCCAAUGUUUACAUUUAUCAAUAUAAAGCAUUUAAUGAAUAAGUUAAAAAAAUGCCAAAAUCUGUGAAAA